Molecule: long non-coding RNA, 1917 nt
Organism: Thunnus maccoyii (southern bluefin tuna)
Lineage: Eukaryota; Metazoa; Chordata; Actinopteri; Scombriformes; Scombridae
Exons: 6
Source: RefSeq, a predicted model, not a curated record
CUGUAACCCCUAAAGAUGGAAAAUUCCAUAACACUAUUAUGGUAACACCAACACAUAUGAGUUCAACUGUUCACAUAAUGACUACUGAUUUAUUCUUUCUGUGAUAAGUAAUGAAUAGAAGUAUAGCAUUAAAAAGGUUUUUGGAUGCAGUUGCUCUUUUAUUCACAUCACAACUAUGCAAAGAAAGUGAUAAGUGUGAGGAGUUUAGUCAUCACAAAGGAAGAACUAGGUGCGCAGUCUAUUUUACACGUAAUACACGACAAAGUGAACUUACAUUCCCUAUGUACAACAAAAGAUGCACAUUUUUGGCAAAUUACUCAAAUUACUCAGAAGAGAAAUCAAGUAUCCAUAACUUGUCACUUUGUCAAGUAAUUACAUAAAUUUACUCAUUUGUCGACAGUAAAAAUACGUUAAUUCGUUUAAACUCAUUAUUGUUAUUUAUUCAUUGCAGCUCUGUCAAAAAUAUCUAACAACGCCAAAGCCAUUUUCUGUAUUUAAAACGUGUAGAAAUGAAUUUUUAAAAAACAAGGUUUUGUUAAACUACAGUCAGCCUGAGGUUUGUAGUCAUUUACUUAUCAUCACCAGCUAACGUUAGCUUUAGUCAAAAGGACUGCACACAGCAGCAUACUCACAGUGAAACUGCGGGAUUCACACCAUGGUUCACACCCUCCCACCUCCGGAAAUAAACCCAGCUGCACCACUUGAGUCUGAAGAAAGCCAAAGUAACAUUGUUUGAGGUGUCUUCACCCGAGAUGCUGGACCCUUUCAAGAGGCCAAGCUGUCUGUCAGUGGGAGGAACGCUAUGAUCAGGAUUCACUGUCAACAGCUGCUCACACAGGCAAUGUGUAAUGUCUUAUAAAGGGAUGAUCUCCAGUUCAGUCAGUAAAUAGAAGGUGCUUUGUGUUUUUCAGAUCUAUCUAAAGUACCUGCUGGGAAAGAAUCUGAGAAGGCACCUGGACUUUGUUAUAGCCCAGCUGGCCUAUGAGCCCCACAGGGGCAGGGAGUCUGUGCUGGAGAUGCUGGCAUACACCUUCCAGACUUGCCCUAAGAACCUGUUGUUGCAGCACAGUGGCUUGUUCUUUGCCCUGCUGGCCUUGGUUGUGGUCACUGACAACUUGGUAUGCUGUAAGAAAAUGGCCAUCAAGGCCUUGCUGGCCUAACUGGACCUGAACCACCAGAACACCUUGUUCUCCCUCGUCAACACCAGCUGAAUGCAGAAAAAGCCAGCCUGCGGCGUCUCGGGGCUCAGGUCUGUGGUCUGUUUGUGGAGCGGGUGGAGGAGAAUUUUGCCCGUCAUGUGGACGACCUGCUGCUGGAGAGAGUGAUCAACUGAGACAACUAUGAAGACCGCCUCACUGCUCUUCGGCCAGCUGUUUGGAGAGGAGAGGGAGCUGGCGAUUAACCUCAGCAGGGAGCCACGGCCUUCAUCAACAACGACCUGGACAAGAGAUGAGAGACUUAGCGUUAUCUUUCUGUCAUCAGCUACAGUCCAAGUUCCUGGACACGGCAUCAGGAGAACAGGCGCACAAAACUCACUGCAUUUCAAACACAUUUCAGCAAAUCAUGCUGAUUACAUUUGACUUGACUACAUUUGAUAAUACACUCUGCCCCUAAAAGUGAUCAUCAAGAACCUACUCUUUGUUAGAGAUGGUGCAACGAUUUAUGGAGGAGCCAUCCAAGAGACCCGGGUCCACAGAUGUGUUGAAAGUAUCAAAUCUCUCUUAUGUUAAUAUGCUGUAAGAAACUGUCAGUUUUUAUACCGGGAUUUGUUAUUUUUUAGAUGUAGGCCUAUUUGUUAUUGUUUUCAUUUUAUCUGAUUUUAAAUGGAAUUCAUUAUUUGAAAAGGCUUUGUCAACAUAUUGUGGCAAGUUUGAGUUUGUGAAAACUGGUGAAUAAAAGUACUGUGAACCCAUAACU